RNAcentral lists this ribosomal RNA (492 nucleotides) under uncultured bacterium. RNAcentral's name for it is "partial 16S ribosomal RNA". It matches the Rfam family "Bacterial small subunit ribosomal RNA", at positions 29 to 507 of the family's 1533-position model. The record is from RNAcentral.
AGUGAACGCUGGCGGUAGGCCUAACACAUGCAAGUCGAACGGCAGCACAGUAAGAGCUUGCUCUUACGGGUGGCGAGUGGCGGACGGGUGAGUAAUACAUCGGAAUCUACUUUUUCGUGGGGGAUAACGUAGGGAAACUUACGCUAAUACCGCAUACGACCUACUUGUGAAAGCAGGGGAUCUUCGGACCUUGCGCUAUUGAAUGAGCCUAUGUCGGAUUAGCUAGUUGGCGGGGUAAAGGCCCACCAAGGCGACGAUCCGUAGCUGGUCUGAGAGGAUGAUCAGACACACUGGAACUGAGACACGGUCCAGACUCCGACGGGAGGCAGCAGUGGGGAAUAUUGGACAAGGGGCGCAAGCCUGAUCCAGCCAUACCGCGUGGGUGAAGAAGGACUUCGGGUUGUAAAGCCCUUUUGUUGGGAAAGAAAAGCAGCAGGUUAAUACCCCGCUGUUAUGACGGUACCCAAAGAAUAAGCACCGGCUAACUUCGUG